CAAAUCCAGCACUGCAAGUCUCUGUUCUUCCUUCUCUGAAAUCUAUGUGUUCAUUCUCUGUGUCCAUCCCCUCUUCCUCCCUGCCCCCCCCCAGCAAAAAAAUGGCCUGUGAUAAGGGUAUCCCUCAUCAGAGAGCCAUGCCAACCACUGCUGCUGCCCGCAAGGCAGCAUAUGAACAGUGAGUGGUGGAGUGGGAAGUGGUCUGGGCCCAUCAUCAUGAGUGGCAUCCCAAUGCUUGCUGUGCUGUGUGGGAGGUGCGCAACCCCCGCCCUUGUAUGAAAAAAGUGGAUAAGCAGAAGGCUAUCUGUGAGAUCCAAUAUUAUCAGAAGUCUGAGGAUCUCAUUUUCCCCAAGACUGUGUUUGCUCAUCUUGUUCAGAAGAUUGAUGAAGAGAAGUAUUGCUUUCAGUGUUCUGCCCUCAAUGCUCUUCAAGUCACAGUCAAGACCACAUUGGUCACACUUUUUGAGUGUGGCCUUAAGGCCAUGAUUCAUCAUGGACAGAUGACUCUCACUGUGAGGGAUAUUAGAUUGGUGGUGGAGAUUGCCCAAGGAUUGGGUAGCAAUUUUUUUGAUGAUUAUAGG
This 581-nucleotide small RNA is filed under the name Histoplasma ohiense. RNAcentral's name for it is "hypothetical lncRNA". The record is from RNAcentral. Lineage: Eukaryota; Fungi; Ascomycota; Eurotiomycetes; Onygenales; Ajellomycetaceae.